CGAGACCUCAGGUCAGGCGGGGCUACCCGCUGAAUUUAAGCAUAUCAAUAGGCGGAGGAAAA
This 62-nucleotide ribosomal RNA is filed under the name Astragalus acmonotrichus. Its description in RNAcentral is "partial 26S ribosomal RNA". It matches the Rfam family "Eukaryotic large subunit ribosomal RNA", at positions 1 to 60 of the family's 3401-position model. Lineage: Eukaryota; Viridiplantae; Streptophyta; Magnoliopsida; Fabales; Fabaceae. The record is from RNAcentral.